Molecule: ribosomal RNA, 497 nt
Filed under: uncultured bacterium
Lineage: Bacteria
Description: partial 16S ribosomal RNA
Rfam family: Bacterial small subunit ribosomal RNA
Source: RNAcentral
GAUGAACGCUGGCGGCGUGCCUAAUACAUGCCAGUCGAGCGAACAGACGAGGAGCUUGCUCCUCUGACGUUAGCGGCGGACGGGUGAGUAACACGUGGAUAACCUACCUAUAAGACUGGGAUAACUUCGGGAAACCGGAGCUAAUACCGGAUAAUAUAUUGAACCGCAUGGUUCAAUAGUGAAAGACGGUUUUGCUGUCACUUAUAGAUGGAUCCGCGCCGCAUUAGCUAGUUGGUAAGGUAACAGCUUACCAAGGCAACGAUGCGUAGCCGACCUGAGAGGGUGAUCGGCCACACUGGAACUGAGACACGGUCCAGACUCCUACGGGAGGCAGCAGUAGGGAAUCUUCCGCAAUGGGCGAAAGCCUGACGGAGCAACGCCGCGUGAGUGAUGAAGGUCUUCGGAUCGUAAAACUCUGUUAUUAGGGAAGAACAAAUGUGUAAAUAACUAUGCACGUCUUGACGGUACCUAAUCAGAAAGCCACGGCUAACUACGUG